This 348-nucleotide long non-coding RNA is filed under the name Sus scrofa (pig). RNAcentral describes it as "lncRNA (ENSSSCG00005033685.1)". The record is from RNAcentral. Lineage: Eukaryota; Metazoa; Chordata; Mammalia; Artiodactyla; Suidae.
UGUACCAGGCAACAGGCGCACAUUCUGCACGAAACUGACAUGGGCUCUGCCCUCGCCGCAGAGCCUGCCAUCUCGUUAGAACGGCGACAGCGAGGGGCAGUAACAGUUUAUGGGAGACUAGAAAGUGGUUUUAGAAGAUCUCCUAUCCCGUCCUUCCUUUGAUCCUCCGAAACGCAGUACAAGGAAAGGAGCCCAGGAGCCCUGUCUUCCCACCUGCCUGCCAGGGACCCUGCCCACUGACCAGCACCCAGGCCCUCACUCUUGAGACCUGGGACAGUCCUCACAACAGAGUCUACAGAAUGGAUAACUAGGUUAGUUGGACCUCAUCACAGCCUAACAAGACACAUC